Molecule: long non-coding RNA, 582 nt
Organism: Pogoniulus pusillus (Red-fronted tinkerbird)
Lineage: Eukaryota; Metazoa; Chordata; Aves; Piciformes; Lybiidae
Exons: 3
Source: RefSeq, a predicted model, not a curated record
CAGCUGCGCCCUCGCAUUAUAGGAGCUCCCUCCUCAGAAAUCCCUGCUCUAUGGGGGUUAAGUUUUAAGCUGAGCAGGUCUAGGGCACUUUGCUCUUCCUCUGACUGUUCCUUGCUGCAGGUUCCUUCCUGUCUGUUGCAUUUUCCUUUGAAGGAAAGGUUUUUUCCAAGCCCAUCAGCACUCGUGAGCAGCGAGAAAAGCCGAUCAAAUGACAACGUAUGCUCGGUAAAACAGCUGCUCCUUCUGCAGCCAGGAGUCCAGGGCUGGUUUAUUGCAAAAUUUCAUUGGAGUCCACUGGAAUUUUGCCUGAGAACAUACUUAUCUGAAGAUUAAGUAGAUCUUGCACUUACAAAAGUGCAUGCUCAUGCUGAAGGCAGACAAAGACCUUGGAGUUCCGAUAACACAGCAGCUCCAGUUAUUUAUUCAACUGUCCACCACGGCAGGAUUUUUUCCCCUGUUAAAUACAUAAUUCCCCACCUUUUUUUUUUUUUUUCUCCCCCCUUUUUGUCCCUUCUCUUAAACAAGAGAACCAGAGGGUGAAAGGGUUGAAGAUUAAAAUGUAAACAGCAAAAUUUAUUAUAA